This is a non-coding RNA of Gossypium hirsutum (cotton), 119 nucleotides long. Lineage: Eukaryota; Viridiplantae; Streptophyta; Magnoliopsida; Malvales; Malvaceae. The record is from Rfam.
GGGUGCCACCAUACUAGCACUAAUACACCAGAUCCCAUCAAAACUCCACAGUUAAGCGUGCUUCGGCAAGAGUAGUACUAGGAUGGGUGACCUCCUGGGAAGGCCUCGUGUUGCACUCC